This 537-nucleotide ribosomal RNA is filed under the name uncultured microorganism. RNAcentral describes it as "bacterial SSU rRNA". It matches the Rfam family "Bacterial small subunit ribosomal RNA", at positions 9 to 527 of the family's 1533-position model. The record is from RNAcentral.
GAGUUUGAUCGUGGCUCAGGAUGAACGCUGGCGGCGUGCCUAAUACAUGCAAGUCGAACGAACAGAUAAGGAGCUUGCUCCUUUGACGUUAGCGGCGGACGGGUGAGUAACACGUGGGUAACCUACCUAUAAGACUGGGAAUAACUCCGGGAAACCGGGGCUAAUGCCGGAUAACAUGUUGAACCGCAUGGUUCUACAGUGAAAGACGGUCUUGCUGUCACUUAUAGAUGGACCCGCGCCGUAUUAGCUAGUUGGUGGGGUAACGGCCUACCAAGGCGACGAUACGUAGCCGACCUGAGAGGGUGAUCGGCCACACUGGAACUGAGACACGGUCCAGACUCCUACGGGAGGCAGCAGUAGGGAAUCUUCCGCAAUGGGCGAAAGCCUGACGGAGCAACGCCGCGUGAGUGAUGAAGGUCUUCGGAUCGUAAAGCUCUGUUGUUAGGGAAGAACAAAUGUGUAAGUAACUGUGCAUAUCUUGACGGUACCUAACCAGAAAGCCACGGCUAACUACAUGCCAGCCGCCGCCGUAAAACC